This 444-nucleotide long non-coding RNA is filed under the name Vigna radiata. RNAcentral's name for it is "long non-coding RNA (VRAD_LNC017762)". The record is from RNAcentral. Lineage: Eukaryota; Viridiplantae; Streptophyta; Magnoliopsida; Fabales; Fabaceae.
UUAUAACUAAUGUUAACAUCCUAACAUGUCUAAAUUAGUUAAAUGAAGCUAGGAAACUAGUCAAAAUGAUAGAAUUACCUCAAACUCAAAGUUUGAGGAUUUAGAACNUAAAAAGUGUGCUUAAAGGGUGAAAAAUUGCAAAUAGACCUAAUGUAGACUAAUUAUAACUAAUGUGAACAUCCUAACAUGUCUAAAGUAGUGAAAUNAAGCUANGAAACUUGACAAAAGCAAAGAAUUACCUAAAACUCAAAGUUUGAGUACUUAGAACCUAAAAAGUGUAUUUAAAGGGUGAGAAAUUGCAACUAGACCUAAUGUACACUAUUUUUAAGUAAUGUCAACAGCCUAACAAGUCUAAAUUAGUCAAAUAAAGCUAGGAAAGUAGUCAAAAGCAAUGAAUUCCAUAAAGUUCUAAUACCUAAUGUGUGGUAUUCGCCACAGUACUGG